This 240-nucleotide unclassified non-coding RNA is filed under the name soil metagenome. RNAcentral's name for it is "partial contains 5.8S ribosomal RNA, internal transcribed spacer 2, and large subunit ribosomal RNA". The record is from RNAcentral.
AACGCACGAGACCUGCGGACCUGCGGAGGGAUCAUUAACGAGUGUAACUUACCCUUUUUUUUAAAAGAGGGUAGUACCUCCUGUCCUUUGUAGGCCCCUUUUUAUUGGGGGGCUUUUUAAGACUUUCUGCUUCGGCGGGGUUAUUCCCGCCGGAACACCCUCAAAAAACUCUUCAAAAACUAAUUCAGUCCGAGAAUUUUUGAAAAUAAAAAAAACUUUUAGCAAUGGAUCUCUAGAUCG